AAAACACCCCGUUAACUGUCUUUUUACACUUUUGCCAUCAGGUACCUUGAUGACAAAGACUGAGAGACUUCGGAGGAGCUUCUUCCCCCAGACCAUCAGGUUCUUAAACUUAGGCUCCAGAAGAUCAGAAUUAAAGCUACAAUCAUCAGACAUCCAACAGCAACACAACAGAUCACAACUUUAUGAACGAAGGACAGACUCACAUCUCUCACAUUCAACACUGAACACAAUAAUGAACAAUUUGAUGAUGAUGAUGAAGAACAUUGUGAAGAAACUCUGCUGAUGACAGGAACGGGCAGACGAGCUGGAAAACAUUUGAGAGAAUAAACAGAAAUAAGAAUCAAAGCAAAUAUUAUCAAUAUUAGGCCAGAGGCCGUGUUUAGUGACUUUAGUCAUUUAGAUUCAUAAAUAAAAUGGACUUUUAAUUUUAGAAACACAUUAAAACAGUCUGAAAGAUAUAAGAUGCAUACAUGUAUUUAAAUUCAA
Molecule: non-coding RNA, 486 nt
Organism: Paramisgurnus dabryanus
Lineage: Eukaryota; Metazoa; Chordata; Actinopteri; Cypriniformes; Cobitidae
Source: RefSeq, a predicted model, not a curated record